GGGAGCGCGCGGCUAUGGCGGCUUGACCCAUUGGCGAUGGGAUAGAAGGAGAGGCUUUGCUUCACAAACCCCUGGGGCAGUAGAUCCCAGUGUCCCAGCAGGACCCUCGGAAGCAGCAAGCUGUAAGGGCAGGGAGGAGCAGAAAUUCCAGGAUGGUGGACAAAAUAUGUCAGAAGCUCUAUGGCAGCAGUUGGAACUGCGCGAUGCCCCAGCAGGGCAGGGAAUGUGAGGCCCAGCAGCAGAAGAAAGGCAGCUCCCAUCUGGAUUAUGGUGGUGGCAGAGAAUUCCUUUCCCCAGGCUGUGGGUCUGACUGUCCUGCUCUGAAGCCCAGAGAGAGAGAACCCCCAGCUGCCCCAACCCUUGUCUUUUUUUCCUGCCUCUAUUCUCACGGUAUCUCUGUCUCACUGCCAGAAACUCCCAGAAAGCAGAGUUCCCCCUCCCGCUGCCUCAACCACCCAGUCAUCAGUGCUUCUUAGCAACUCAGUGGGAAAAAACUCCACAAGUAAUAAGGAAAGUAAAACCCAACCUCCAACACCACUCUAGGCUGAUUUUAUUUAGUGUUUAAGUUUGUCCAGAUUUAGAAGGGAUAUAAAGAGUUUUUAUGAUCACUCCAAGCAAUACAACACUCGUACAUGCCACCUUUAUAUAUAAUCUUUCCUGACUGUUGGUUUAAUUAGUUUCAAUUAAUAUUUUUAUUAUUUCAUAAUAUUAUUACUUAGGUGAUGUCAUGGUUUCAAACUAACGUUACAGUUAAUUACUUUACACUUUAGUUACGUUACACUGAAUGCAAGUGACAGUGCAGGUUCAUCAGCAAUCUUCCUACUUAUCUGCAGACUGCAAAACUGAUAGUGAUUUUUACUGUGGUAGUAGUGAUGUCUUCUGCCUAGAGUGGAGUUUACAGGCAACAACUGAGCAUGGUAUUGCAGCAUUUAUACCUGUGAACACAAUAGGAAAGCAUGUUGGUGCAUAAUGUGAAAUCAGACUUGCUUUCAGACAGUUACAGUCAAAGGAAAUGCAAGAAAAUCAUGUAGAGGUGGUACAGGCUUUUUAAGAGGGCACAGAAGGACAUUUUGAUGUUCACUGCAGUUAAGCAGUGUAAAUUGGUUCAGUUUUAUUAAUAAACUAUAUUUGGUUUGUACCUAAAUUUUUCAUGAAUUGUUAGUGUAUAGUGAACAGUGCUUCCAUCAGUUCUGUGUCUCUUCUGCAGAGCAAAGUAAAUAAUUGAUUUUUUUUUUCUUACUCUCAAAAUGAUUUGCACCAUACUAAAUAGGGGGGAAAAACAAAACAAAACAAAACAAACAAACAAACAAACAAAGCAAAAAAACCCACCAAACUUUUAAGAAUUUGCAUCACUAAAGAAAGAAGCAAAAACGUCUGCCUGCAGCUCAUGUAACUAGACACGGAAAAUCUGGAAAAUCUCUUAAUAGAUACAGAAUAUACAAGGAAAAACGUAGAAGUGAUGGUUUUCCUUUAACAGGCAUAGAAACAAACAAAAGCACCUUCCUGCUUAUAAAAUCUUGUCUGUGGUAGAAAUGUUGACAGAAAAGAAAUUUUGCAAGAAAAACACACACACAAAAAAAUCACACUUUUAACUGAUGUACUUAUAUGAACAAAAGUUUGCACAGACCCAUGAGUGGCUUCUAGCUGUUUCUUAGGUAACCCAAGGUCUUAAGAUGGAAGACCUAGAGAACUCUAAAUUAGUCCAAUGUGUGAAUAUCAUUUACACCUGUUACCUUUUAGCAAGAGAAGCUACAGCCAGAAACACACAGCACAUAAUCCUAUAGAGAGCCUUUCAAAGAGAAAAGGUUGAUUUAAUUUGAAGCAUACAUCUCCUUAGCCAGAAAAGAAAAAUUACAUAUAUGUAGAGUGUUUUACAGGGACAAAUAUAGUAGUUCUCCUGCUGUGUGUUCUCACUUUGAAACAAAUGGAAAGAAACAAGACAACGAUUAAAUAAAACUCCAGAUUAUUGAAAAUAUUUUCUAUUAAAAAGUAUAUAAAUACAAAAAAUAUGUCAUUUAGAAAUGUGAGCCAAAAUAUGCUUAAAAAAUAGACUACCAGAUUUUUCAUUGAUUAAUGGAAGGCACUGGUUAAAAAUUUUCAAAUAAUGAAAUUCUGCUUUAUAUUUUCACCUGCAAAUGAAAGAAUUACUCAUUUGAAUGCACUAACUGCUUUCCAUUUUAGAGGGCAGAUACAAAUGAAUAAGCUUUUCUAAAGUUCUUCUAAAUAAAUAGAAAUGCCGAUCAGUUACCCCAUAAUGUCAGUUGCCAAAACUUGGUCUCCAUUGUCUUUGAUGCAUAUCUCACUCCCUGUCCUUCUGGGCUUCCCUUUACAGCACCUAGCACCAGCAUGGCAAUUAAUGAGUGCAUCCCUAAGCAACAAGUGGUGAGUCGAGCACCAGACCCAGAACCUGAGAACUACCUCAAUAGUGCUGAAAAGGGGGAAGGAUCACCUCAAUCAACCUCGUGGCACUACUGCCAGUUCUAUUUCAGUGGACAAACAGAUGGAAUAGAAGUGUGGAACUCUAAGGUUUGAACAGGGGUCACAUUUGAAGAGCUGGUGCACAUGGAAAACUACCUGUGAGAGCUAGUGUCUACUUACAGAUUUAAAGCAACGUAGCUAGACAAUUCCUUUCCUAGCUUGGGACCAAAGACAACCACCCAAAUUUCAGGCCCAAGAGCAUAAACAGUAUGCACUGAAGACAGAAAAAGAAGAUGGAAUGUGACUUCAUAACCUAAAGCUGUAACUGGACAGUUAACUCCAAUAUGGUAAUGGACCAGAAAUUACAGAAGUGAGAGACAUGUGACCAGUGGUCCAUUUUGUGACCAUUUUGAGUUUAUCUUGGGUGUAGCCCUGGCUGGCCUCUUGUACUGCCCAGGGUAUAUCCAUUGAGGCCUUUUAAUAAAUACCUAUUUAUUCUUUGAUGCCGUCUAGCCUGUGUUAUAGGUCAGCCUACAGAAGGCAUCAAUAUGCAUACAUAUAUUACACACUGUAACAUAUAUAUACAUCAUAUACAUGUAUUUAACACCAGUCACACUGGAACAACUUGUAUUGAGAUAAUAAGGACUUUUUCAGUAGAAGCACCCUUAUUAUAAAAAAAACCCCCAUGAUUUAUUUUAUCACGGAAGAAAUAUAAUUGUUUAUUUACCAUUUAUGACUUUUCCCAUUCUCUUUAUUAUGUGAUUAGUGAAAUCUCACCUCCAAUAUACUUGUGUUCAGUCCACAGGAUGCCUACUUCAUUGCUUUUUUUUGUCUUUGUUAUUUUUAUCUUAUGGCUAUACACUAUAUAUACACUAUAGCAACCACUGUGAUUCCAGCUCAUUGAUAAGUGACAAACAUUUAAGUUCUUUCCAUUAACAGAGUGGACCAAAAUUGUUGAACGCUUAAUAAGAGAUAAAAAUUGCUCAUAGUAAAAUCACUUCUGAUUUGAUUUGGGAAGCAGCAGGGAGAGAUGAUGAGCAAGGAGGCAAGCAGAUGUGUUGGCUGGUAUUUAGUGUCUAAAUGAGGAGGAACAUCAGAUGGGGACAUACACUGACCUUCCAGAACUGCCUUAUAUGAGACACCUUGAUUUUGGCAAGGGAGUAACCAUUAUGAAAGGGUUAUAAAGGCAACUGGAAUUGAGAACUUCUUCAUAUUUUUCAGCUCAGUCCAGGUGAAAUCAGCAGCA
This is a long non-coding RNA of Passer domesticus (house sparrow), 3664 nucleotides long. RefSeq lists it as uncharacterized. NCBI's taxonomy places the organism in Eukaryota, Metazoa, Chordata, Aves, Passeriformes, Passeridae. The transcript is spliced from 4 exons. The record is from RefSeq and is a predicted model, not a curated record.